CUGCAUUCCUGCUUGAAAGAAACUUCUGUUUAAUAAUAUUUAAUUAAUGUUAUUUCUUUUUAGGGAUAUCUGGUAAAGCAAUUGCACUACUUUGUUCAAGGAUACCGUCUGAAUCAGGUUAAAAAGUUCAUCUGGAAGUGACAUAACCAUAAAAGAUAUCCCGUCAAAGCAGCAUGUCCUUACUUCUGCUUGUAUGCUAUGGCUGGGCAUUGUUCAUGGCUUUCCCAGCUUUUUUUUUUUUUUUUUGGCAGAAAUCCUGUGCAAUUAUAACCCAGCUAGAGACUAUCCUUUCUGUUCAACCUGUCACUGUAACACACUGCUAAAGCACUUUCAGCUGGCAAAUCAGGAGUCAAUACCGUGGGCAACAAGCAACACAAGAAAGGAUCUUAGAGAAGAUCUCGUGUAAGAGAGAUCAUCUGGAUAUCAAGGUCAUAGCUACACUGCUGGAUUCCUCACAAGAUGGAGUAUCAAGGCAAUAGCUCGGAGGCAACUACAUUGUGAAUGAAAAUCUGUACAAGGAGAGGCAUUAGCCUUUAUUGGAAACAAGGGUAAAUAUUGCUGUAUUAGGGUCUAAGUUCAAAGGUCAGGAACUUACCUUUGUUCCUUUACACACAACUUGAUUUUCACAGGUUUUCCAUUCAAAUGUCAGGCAAGGAUGCACUAUGAUUAAUGCUUACUGUGUGAAGUAGGAGGUGACCAAAUAUGAACCUUGUAUAGGUAUUUCAACUAGGAAAAACAAUAGCGUUAGGCAAGGAGCUUUAACUAUAUGAAUGAAAAUAAGAUGAAUUGCUACACACAAAUUGAUAGAGUAGCAAAAGGCUGAUCCAUCCUGGAGGUAUUGCCGUGGAAUGCAGCAGGUAGCAUUUUGUG
This 870-nucleotide long non-coding RNA is filed under the name Anser brachyrhynchus (Pink-footed goose). RNAcentral's name for it is "lncRNA (ENSABRG00000011147.1)". The record is from RNAcentral. Lineage: Eukaryota; Metazoa; Chordata; Aves; Anseriformes; Anatidae.